AGUUCCAAAUACGUGCAGUUAAGAAGCUCUUGUCCAGGUGCCUCAGUAAAAUGGGCAAAGUUGUUCCCGAGGCCUCUGUAAGGUCCUGAAAACCUGGAAUUUGGCUACAGAAGUCCAGAUUUGAGCUCUUUUAAGGGCCACAUUCUCAACAAAUCAUAUACCAUUAUGCAUUUCCUCAAUACCUCAGCCCAGGUUCUUCAGAUCUUACAUAUGGUUUGAAAAAGGCUUUUUGCUUUCAACUUAGGUUACCUUCUUGCUGAUGACAAAAAAAUAAUUACAAAGCCAGAAAUAACAUUACUUGCACAGGAAGCUGCAAAGGGAAUCCUAAUGUCAGGAGGACUUAUCAGCUUGGUGGUUCAUGUGCGGCAUCCUGGUGGCUGGUGAUAUAUCUGCUCUUGUUAAUUCUUUUCAUUAUUAUUUUUUCUUUGCUCAUUAUGCUAGUUUGCUAUGAGUGAUCUGUGUUUUAUUUGGCUCACCUAUCAUCACCUGGUUGACUGAAGAUUGUAACAUACUAAUGAGGUCGAUCAAAGCCAAAAUUGAAGUUAAUUUUGCCCCCAAUUGGUAGAAUGAACAAUUUAAAGUUGAUUUGUUGAGACAUGACCGGUCAUCUAAGUAACAAUAAAUACUUGUUCUCUAGUUCAAAA
Molecule: long non-coding RNA, 644 nt
Organism: Quercus robur (English oak)
Lineage: Eukaryota; Viridiplantae; Streptophyta; Magnoliopsida; Fagales; Fagaceae
Exons: 3
Source: RefSeq, a predicted model, not a curated record